CAGUCGUACGCUUCUUUUUCCACCGGAGCUUGCUCCACCGGAAAAAGAAGAGUGGCGAACGGGUGAGUAACACGUGGGUAACCUGCCCAUCAGAAGGGGAUAACACUUGGAAACAGGUGCUAAUACCGUAUAACAAUCGAAACCGCAUGGUUUUGAUUUGAAAGGCGCUUUCGGGUGUCGCUGAUGGAUGGACCCGCGGUGCAUUAGCUAGUUGGUGAGGUAACGGCUCACCAAGGCCACGAUGCAUAGCCGACCUGAGAGGGUGAUCGGCCACAUUGGGACUGAGACACGGCCCAAACUCCUACGGGAGGCAGCAGUAGGGAAUCUUCGGCAAUGGACGAAAGUCUGACCGAGCAACGCCGCGUGAGUGAAGAAGGUUUUCGGAUCGUAAAACUCUGUUGUUAGAGAAGAACAAGGAUGAGAGUAACUGUUCAUCCCUUGACGGUAUCUAACCAGAAAGCCACGGCUAACUACGUGCCAGCAGCCGCGGUAAUACGUAGGUGGCAAGCGUUGUCCGGAUU
Molecule: ribosomal RNA, 521 nt
Filed under: Enterococcus faecalis
Lineage: Bacteria; Bacillati; Bacillota; Bacilli; Lactobacillales; Enterococcaceae
Description: bacterial SSU rRNA
Rfam family: Bacterial small subunit ribosomal RNA
Source: RNAcentral